AGUGAACGCUGGCGGUAGGCCUAACACAUGCAAGUCGAACGGCAGCACAGUAAGAGCUUGCUCUUACGGGUGGCGAGUGGCGGACGGGUGAGGAAUACAUCGGAAUCUACUUUUUCGUGGGGGAUAACGUAGGGAAACUUACGCUAAUACCGCAUACGACCUACGGGUGAAAGCAGGGGAUCUUCGGACCUUGCGCGAUUGAAUGAGCCGAUGUCGGAUUAGCUAGUUGGCGGGGUAAAGGCCCACCAAGGCGACGAUCCGUAGCUGGUCUGAGAGGAUGAUCAGCCCCACUGGAACUGAGACACGGUCCAGACUCCUACGGGAGGCAGCAGUGGGGAAUAUUGGACAAUGGGCGCAAGCCUGAUCCAGCCAUACCGCGUGAGUGAAGAAGGCCUUCGGGUUGUAAAGCCCUUUUGUUGGGAAAGAAAAGCAGCAGGUUAAUACCCCGCUGUUCUGACGGUACCCAAAGAAUAAGCACCGGCUAACUUCGUG
RNAcentral lists this ribosomal RNA (492 nucleotides) under uncultured bacterium. RNAcentral's name for it is "partial 16S ribosomal RNA". It matches the Rfam family "Bacterial small subunit ribosomal RNA", at positions 29 to 507 of the family's 1533-position model. The record is from RNAcentral.